GAACGUACAUGUACUCCCCUGAAUAUCAAGGCAUCCGGAACUCCUCUGGGAAUCUACGGUGCUGCUCGUUUUGCUUUCCCGGUCUAGCCGAUUUAGCCGUUUCUAAUCGGCAACUCGCUCGAUUGGCCAUUCCGCCGUCCCGUCGGCUUAACCGGGACCUGCCGAUCGCCCCGAAAAAAUUUCAGCGGGACAAUCGGGACAAGAUGGCGGCUUGAAAGAUGGACGUAACACCAAAGUGGACCUGCUUUUUGUGUGCCCAGCCAGCUCCAUUCCACUCUCUUGCUUCACUAGAAGCGCAGGAAAAAUCUGGAAACACAGAGAUAUAUAUAGACGGUGAUUACAAGAUUUAUUUGCGCUGCCCGUCCUGCAGGAGGUGUUUUCAUCCAAGCUGGAAAGGCAAGGGGAAAAUGAAAAAAAGGAAAAGGACAGUUGACACAGUUACAGAAACCUUAACCGGUCUCUUUGAAAAACGAGAAAUGCAAACUGCAAAGCGGCACAAGGAAAAAAUGAACAUAAUGAAAUCCUUCAUUGAUGUUUUAAGAGGAAAACAAGAUUCCUCUGCAGCUCAUUCCAAUUCCCCAAGUGCGUCUUCUGAUGAUGAUUAAAUGACGAUAUAUAUUUUAUUAUCUUAUCCCUGUUCUGCCUGAAGAUUCUUUUUUAUAGUCUAUUAUCUGUGCCAGGUGCCAAGUUUAUUUCUUAAAUGUCUUGAAAUUGUGUUAAUUCUUGUUUUAUGAUCAUAUUAUACUGUUAAAUGUGUUUACAUGUAUUUAGUGAAGACAGUGAGGUUCACAACCCAGUGCGUCUCAAAUCAAAUUUUUCUUAAAAAUGUUGGUUUUUUUGCUUGUUUCAAUCUUAUUACUUUUUCAGUUAUAUUAAAUAAAUGUAACUUCAAAUAUUUGGGCUAGGUGCAAGAUGUAAUUGUAACUAUAUAUAAAAUUACUGACAAUUAGUUGUUUGCCCGAAAUUGUUUUUUAUGAUCAAUGAAAAGUGAACGACAGCGUAUUUGCUCUGUAUUCUGUUUGUUUCAAUAUAUGUAUUGAAAGA
RNA transcript from Pecten maximus, 1044 nucleotides. RefSeq lists it as uncharacterized. The record is from RefSeq and is a predicted model, not a curated record. The transcript has 3 exons. NCBI's taxonomy places the organism in Eukaryota, Metazoa, Mollusca, Bivalvia, Pectinida, Pectinidae.